This is a long non-coding RNA of Panicum virgatum (switchgrass), 1089 nucleotides long. RefSeq lists it as uncharacterized. Lineage: Eukaryota; Viridiplantae; Streptophyta; Magnoliopsida; Poales; Poaceae. The transcript has 6 exons. The record is from RefSeq and is a predicted model, not a curated record.
ACCUCCUCCCACCUGUUCCAUGCCGCCUCUCUCGUAGCACCGCCAUCUCUGGUUCCCAACCCUCUUCUCAGGUGGUCGCCCUCUCCCAUUAAAUCGCCGCUGGUCCUCCUCACGGGCGCCAACAAUUUCUUUUGUGCCUUGCCCCUAUCGACGAUAGCUGGCUGCUGCACAUCUAGCAUUUGAUUGCUGCUGUCCUCCUUCAUCGAUUGGGCUGCGGGAUACUUCAGGGAAAAAAGGCAGCAAGGAGAAGGGAGAGCAGAAAUUAGGAAGGGAUCAUCGGGAGGAAGGCUGCCUGCAAAAUCGCCGGACGUAACAUCAACGUAGCCGUUAUGCAGAGCAUGGUUCUUGGAUGUAAUACUCACUGUCCCGGACAGCAGCGGUGGCCAGGCCUGCUGCACGCCCGUGGCAGCUGCAGCAGCCUGCCUGCCAGGGCGGCGGUGGCCAUCCUGGCGGCCUGCCAAGGGCGGCGGCCAACCAGCCAGCCUGCUAGGCAGGGGCGGCAGCAGUGCCUGCCCCGGCGAUGGCGGUCGCAGCCAGCCUGACUGCCCAUGAAAGCUCCGGCCGUCGUGUUCUAAAUCCAUGACUUCCAAAAGGAGGCGCCCUGCAGGACUGGGAACCAGUGAGCCAAUUCAGGUGAAAAAGAGGCGUCCUGCAGGACUGGGAAGCAGUAAGCCAAUUCCGGCCUGCAACAAAAAGAAGGUGGUGUUCUGUGUGGACUCAUCCUCAUCUGAUGAGGCAUGUGCAUCCAUCGCCAAAAAGAUGCACAAGGGAAGGAGCCUCGAAGGCACAGAUCAGGGAACCUCUCACCAAAAAAGAGCUAAUGUGUUUUAGAUCUGCUCCAAAGUGAAGGUGUUCACCUAUGCGGCUAAGAAGAAUAAAUGAAGUGCAGUUUAGGGUGUCCCUGUGUGGACAUAUCUAACUAGUUGUGGACUUUGGUUAGUUGUCAUGACAUGUGGUCAGUUCUGUAAAUAUCUAUCUCUAUAUAUGUUUGUAUGGUCAUAGAGGUCUCUAGCUAUGUAUGCCCGUGCAUUGCUUGCAUGCACUGUUUGCUUAAGAAAUAUGCAAUGCAGGUUCUUAAUUCAUCUUCAA